Chloebia gouldiae (Gouldian finch) is the source of this 1616-nucleotide long non-coding RNA. NCBI's taxonomy places the organism in Eukaryota, Metazoa, Chordata, Aves, Passeriformes, Passeridae. The record is from Ensembl.
CCGCUCUUCUCCGCACCCCUCCCAAAACACAGGGCGAGCCCCGGAGACCUCGGGUUACUCUGCUGUUCUCCACGAGGUUUUAUUAUUUUUCGCCCUAUUGUUUCUGGAAGAAACAAGAAUGCCUUUGGUGCUUGUUUGAACCGGGAUGCGGGAAGCCGGCAGGCAGCGUGCUGUGUUGUUGGCGAUUUGGAUUUUGAUGAUGGAAAAUUCCCCACGGGAAAAAAAAAGUCAUAAACCUCAGAGCAGCAAAGACCGCAGGCUGUUUGGGGCAAAAAGUUUUGAGUAUGAAGUUUGAAUCAGUUUUGGGAAAAUGAUCAUUUUAAAAAGAUCCGAAACCUCUUUGGAAACGGAUUCCAGCGCUGUGAUGCACAGGCAUUUUUCGCUGUCUGCAAACACUGGCGCAGGGUCUGCGCUCAGCUCCCUGCAGCUGCAGUCACAGCUCUUCCCUGGGCUCUUGGCCUUCCCAAAACUGCCUGUGCCAUGUCCAGGACACGCUGGUCAUCUAAAGAGUCUCAUCAAAAGAACUUCUUUUCUUGUUUGUGUUAUCACUAUUCCUCUUGCAGGUUUUGAGCAUCCCAAAGUGGUUUUAUGGAGGUCUUGCCUUGCUGUGCAUUGAGUGUGAGUGAUGUGCUCUGUUCAAUAUACAGAAAAAUGCAACCUCAGUCUUCAAAUGGUUGAAAUUCAAAAGACAGACAUUCUAAGAUGGGAAAUAUAUUCUAUUUCUGUUUCACGCAGAUCCUGGGUACUCACAGAGAAUGCAGAUUUCAAGACUCUGCUCUGUGGAAGAGAUCCAAAUGAGCUCAAAAAGGAAUCCUAAACUGAAUUCUUCCCCUUUCUUUCUGACCUGGACGUGAAUGUUAACUCAUACUAACUAGGGAAUUAGCCUUGAAUAAGCAACCAGAACAAAUUUAUUUUUGUUGUCAGUACAAGCAGUAACUUUCCCAGUUCCUGGGUCCAGCCUAAGCACAGUAUGAAUAUAUUCAGGGAUAGUUACAGUUCUGGCAGGCAAGAUACUCAAUAUUCAUGAGUGUGGCUCUUCUGUUUAUUUCACAGGAAUGGGAAUCAGGUGAGCCUGGUUCUGUCUGUUCAUCCAGAAAUGGCUUUUUUCUUCUGAUUUUUCUUGAUUAAUAGAAAGUCUCUUCUUCCUUCAGAGAUAGACCAGUUGACUCAGGUUAGAGGAACAUCUUGAAGUCUAAAGUGGGGGAAUGUUACAAAGGAGUGGAAUAUUACUUGCAGACCUCACCCUUGUGCAUUGGCCAUAAGAUUAUAAGAUUUGGAUGAACACCUUUAAAUCAGUUUUUAAAGGCCUGUUUAAAUCAAUAGUUAUCUGGAAUGGUUGAUAGUAAAUUGUAAUUUUUAAAGUAUUUUUCUUCAAGUUCUGUCUUCUGUAGAUUACUGCACUUGAGUCUUGGCUUUCAUUAGAGAAAAAAAGUAUGUUUGUAGUUGCCAUGGCUACAAAGAAAAGCAAGAAAGAUGUGAACCUUGAUAAUUCUGGAACCAAAAUGCAAAUAAGAGGAAAUCUAAAUGUUGUAUGAUAAGGGAAGAGAAAUUACCAAUAACAGUCUUCAGACAUUUAAUUAGGACAUAAUGACAACAAAAUGCUCUGCCUGUUAAGU